Dreissena polymorpha is the source of this 972-nucleotide long non-coding RNA. RefSeq lists it as uncharacterized. Lineage: Eukaryota; Metazoa; Mollusca; Bivalvia; Myida; Dreissenidae. The record is from RefSeq and is a predicted model, not a curated record. The transcript is spliced from 3 exons.
GCUCGAAAAUGUUAAAGUUCUUAUUUCAUGGUAUAACUUUGGUAUGCUUGGACCUAGAGUCUUCAAACUUGACAUGAAGGUUGGCCAGGAUUAACAGAUGACCACUGGUCAUUUCAAGGUCAUUCAUUUGAAGGUCAAGGUCACUGUGACCUUCAAUAUAAAAAAUGUUAAAGUUGUUAUAACUUUGGUAUGCUUGGACCUAGAGUCUUGAAACUUGACAUGAAGGUUGGCCAUAACUAGUUAGUAACCACUGGUCAUUUCAAGGUCAUUCAUUUGAAGGUCAAGGUCACUGUGACCUUGAAUGUAAAAAUGUUAAAGUUCUUAUUUCAUGGUAUAACUUUGGUAUGCUUGGACCUAGAGUCUUCAAACUUGACAUGAAGGUUGGCCAGGAUUAACAGAUGACCACUGGUCAUUUCAAGGUCAUUCAUUUGAAGGUGAAGGUCACUGUGACCUUCAAUAUAAAAAUGUUAAAGUUGUUAUAACUUUGGUAUGCUUGGACCUAGAGUCUUGAAACUUGACAUGAAGGUUGGCCAGAACUAGUAAGUAACCACUGGACAUUUCAAGGUCAUUCAUUUGAAGGUCAAGGUCACUGUGACCUUGAAUGUAAAAAUGUUAAAGUUCUUAUUUCAUGUUAUAACUUUGGUAUGCUUGUACCUAGAGUCUUCAAACUUGAAAUAAAGAUUGGCCAGUACUAGAAGAUGACCACUGGUCAUUUCAAUGUCAUUCAUUUGAAGGUCAAGGUCACUGUGACCUUCAAUGUUAAAAUGUUAAAAUUUUUAUAUGCAUUCAAAACAUAACACAAGGUUUGCUCAUGCCUUGAAAAGUACUUACAUUUCAUUUUGACCUUUGAACAAUAUUUCAGUAAUUUAAGUAUUGCAUUGACAAAAACACAAAAGGUACUUUCCUGUCAUUUAAAUCAAAAAUCCGGCUUCAAUGCGGUCAUCUCCGACCGCGGAACUCUUGUUUAUAAUU